Molecule: transfer RNA, 66 nt
Filed under: Sericus brunneus
Lineage: Eukaryota; Metazoa; Arthropoda; Insecta; Coleoptera; Elateridae
Description: tRNA-Arg
Source: RNAcentral
AAAUAAGAAACAAUUAUUGUAAUUAGUUUCGACCUAAUCCUUUGAUGAUAAAAUCAUCCUUAUUUU